This 77-nucleotide transfer RNA is filed under the name Opitutia bacterium. RNAcentral's name for it is "tRNA-Met". It matches the Rfam family "tRNA". Rfam says of the family: Transfer RNA (tRNA) molecules are approximately 80 nucleotides in length. Lineage: Bacteria; Pseudomonadati; Verrucomicrobiota; Opitutia. The record is from RNAcentral.
UGCAGGGUGGAGCAGUCUGGUAGCUCGUCAGGCUCAUAACCUGAAGGUCCUGGGUUCGAAUCCCAGCCCUGCACCCA